UAGGGAGGGUGCAAGCGUUACUCGGAAUCACUGGGCGUAAAGCGCGCGUAGGCGGCCUAGCAAGUCUGGUGUGAAAGCCCAGGGCUCAACCCUGGAAGGGCACUGGAAACUGUUAGGCUUGAGUUCCGGAGAGGAGGGGGGAAUUCCCGGUGUAGCGGUGAAAUGCGUAGAUAUCGGGAGGAAUACCGGUGGCGAAGGCGCCCCUCUGGACGGAAACUGACGCUGAGGCGCGAAAGCGUGGGGAGCAAACAGG
This 253-nucleotide ribosomal RNA is filed under the name uncultured bacterium. RNAcentral's name for it is "partial 16S ribosomal RNA". It matches the Rfam family "Bacterial small subunit ribosomal RNA", at positions 524 to 776 of the family's 1533-position model. The record is from RNAcentral.